Molecule: unclassified non-coding RNA, 18 nt
Filed under: Mus musculus (house mouse)
Lineage: Eukaryota; Metazoa; Chordata; Mammalia; Rodentia; Muridae
Description: oocyte_clustered_small_RNA6454
Source: RNAcentral
UGAGAAAGCCCAGGAGAG